Molecule: ribosomal RNA, 257 nt
Filed under: uncultured bacterium
Lineage: Bacteria
Description: partial 16S ribosomal RNA
Rfam family: Bacterial small subunit ribosomal RNA
Source: RNAcentral
UACAGAGGGGCAAGCGUUGUUCGGAAUUACUGGGCGUAAAGGGCGCGUAGGCGGCCUGGCAAGUGGAAGGUGAAAUACCCUCGGCUUAACCGAGGAACGUGCCCUCCAAACUGCUUGGCUUGAGUCGGGAGAGGUGAGUGGAAGUUCCCAGUGAUAGCGGUGAAAUGACGUAGAUAUUGGGAGGAACACCAGUGGCGAAGGCGGCUCACUGGACCGGAACUGACGCUGAGGCGCGAAAGCGUGGGGAGCAAACGGGG